AGUCGACGAUGAAGGGAAGCUUGCUUUCUGGAUUAGUGGCGAACGGGUGAGUAACACGUGAGUAACCUGCCCUUGACUCUGGGAUAAGCACUGGAAACGGUGUCUAAUACCGGAUAUGACCAUCAGGUGCAUGUUUGAUGGUGGAAAGUUUUUCGGCUAGGGAUGGGCCCGCGGCCUAUCAGCUUGUUGGUGGGGUAAUGGCCCACCAAGGCGACGACGGGUAGCCGGCCUGAGAGGGCGAUCGGCCACACUGGGACUGAGACACGGCCCAGACUCCUACGGGAGGCAGCAGUGGGGAAUAUUGCGCAAUGGGCGAAAGCCUGACGCAGCGACGCCGCGUGAGGGAUGAAGGCCUUCGGGUUGUAAACCUCUUUCAGCAGGGACGAAGCGCAAGUGACGGUACCUGCAGAAGAAGCACCGGCCAACUACGUGCCAGCAGCCGCGGUAAUACGUAGGGUGCAAGCGUUGUCCGGAAUUAUUGGGCGUAAAGAGCUCGUAGGCGGUUUGUCGCGUCGGUGGUGAAAUCUCGGGGCUCAACCCCGAGCCUGCCAUCGAUACGGGCAGACUAGAGUGCUGUAGGGGAGACUGGAAUUCCUGGUGUAGCGGUGAAAUGCGCAGAUAUCAGGAGGAACACCGGUGGCGAAGGCGGGUCUCUGGGCAGUAACUGACGCUGAGGAGCGAAAGCGUGGGGAGCAAACAG
Molecule: ribosomal RNA, 700 nt
Filed under: uncultured bacterium
Lineage: Bacteria
Description: bacterial SSU rRNA
Rfam family: Bacterial small subunit ribosomal RNA
Source: RNAcentral